CAGGCCCUACGGGGUGCAGCGGGCGCGAAACCUCCGCAAUGUGAGAAAUCGCGACGGGGGGAUCCCAAGUGCCAUUCUUAACGGGAUGGCUUUUCAUUAGUGUAAAGAGCUUUUGGAAUAAGAGCUGGGCAAGACCGGUGCCAGCCGCCGCGGUAACACCGGCAGCUCUAGUGGUAGCAAUUUUUAUUGGGCCUAAAGCGUCCGUAGCCGGUUUAAUAAGUCUCUGGUGAAAUCCUGUAGCUUAACUGUGGGAAUUGCUGGAGAUACUAUUAGACUUGAGACCGGGAGAGGUUGGAGGUACUCCCAGGGUAGAGGUGAAAUUCUGUAAUCCUGGGAGGACCGCCUGUUGCGAAGGCGUCUAACUGGAACGGUUCUGACGGUGAGGGACGAAAGUUAGGGGCGCGAACCGGAUUAGAUACCCGGGUAGUCCUAACUGUAAACGAUGCGGACUUGGUGUUGGGGUGGCUUUGAGCUGCUCCAGUGCCGAAGGGAAGCUGUUAAGUCCGCCGCCUGGGAAGUACGGUCGCAAGACUGAAACUUAA
Molecule: ribosomal RNA, 542 nt
Filed under: uncultured archaeon
Lineage: Archaea
Description: bacterial SSU rRNA
Rfam family: Archaeal small subunit ribosomal RNA
Source: RNAcentral